CUUACAAAACAGGAAUACAAAAGACCCAAAAGAUUUAUUAUUUUCCUUUUCCCUGCUCAUUGCCUUGAAAAACUUUAACAGUAUGGAAAAAUCUGUGUUUUGAAAGCUUUUAGAUUUACUAUCUGCCUUUCUGUGGAGGCAUUGGGGACAAUAUAUGAAUUUUUGUAAGAAAAACAGAUGCUUCCUUCUUAAGCAAGUCGCAGAAGAGACCAUGAUUGCAAGAGAAAUUCUCUAAACCAGCUCUUUAGAAAUUUGGAGUGGAUAAGAACUUCAUAUAUACCUAAAGAAUUCUAUCUGACAGUGCCCAACAGGGAAUGAAGAUAGAACUCAUGGACAUCUAACUGCCUGAAUGCCAUCAGGAUAAACAGAAGCAAAAGAUGUCAUUAUUCCCUAGCUAUAGCUGUGUGUAGACAGGCAUCAGAUGUCUUAGGUUUUACCCUCCAUUAAAUGGAAUUGUGUAGCAAAUGAAAAUUCUUAGCAUCAAACAAAUCUUUAAACUGCAGUAACAUGGAUGUAAAUAUUAUGUGGAUAUAGACAGAUGCUAGCAAUAAUUUUAAAGUAUUCUAAUUGUUUCCCAUUGUACUUGAGAUUUUCUUUAAAAGCUUACUAACAUUUCAUAACUUUACAACAUUUUCUAACUUUAUAUUAGCUGUGGCUUGAGCAGUUUUGACUGAUUUUUGAUGUAUUCUUUAAAAGCGUUUCUCUUUAUACUAGGCUCAUAAAACAGUUUAUAAUUCUUGAAAUAUCAUUAGCCUGACACCAAGAUUAAACUUUGGAAAAAUCUAAAUGUCCCUGAAAAUUGCCACCUGAAGUCAUAAAAUCAUAGAAUAUGCUGAAUUGGAAGGGGCCCAUCAUGAUCACCAAGUCCAACUUCUGGGCCUGCUCAGAACACCCCAAGGAUCACAAUGUGUGCCUGAGAAUGGUGUCCAAACACUCUUGAACUCUGACAGGCUUAGUGUUCUGAAGUCAGAUGUCAACUUUGCAACCAGUUGCAUUUUCUGUAAGUUUGAGCCUUAACUUUACUUCUGAACCCUACUACACUUCAGGCUAUUCAUAAUAUUCAUUCACAUUUGCUAGUCCCAUCGUUUCUUCUCAGGUGUACUCUUGGAAAAGAGCAGGUGAUUGUAUUAAAGUGCUGCAAUCUAACUCUUGCAGUCUGAGUGCCCCAUUGUGGAUAACAAUAACAGUUCAGAAGAGGGUUCUUUUUUGCUCUUCAGAAUCCUUUUGAUUAGGCUGAAAUUGCUAGUGCAUAAUUUAGUUCUGGUGAAUGGUGAAGAGAGUAUCUUUUGAAAAAGAAAGAGAAAGAGAAAAACACUGAUUUUCACAGAAGUGUAUUAAGGAUUUAAGCAUACAUACCUAGAUUCUGAUUUUGAAGUACAUUGAUUGUUUUCUUCUUUUGUUGAGCAUACUCAGCUUCCAGUAAAAUUCAGCUGAGUCAGCAGAUUGUGGCACACAAAGGUGAUUUUUGACAGGUUUUCCUUUAAGAAGAACUGGUAAAUAUAAAUAUAUAGGGUCAUAAACAAAGAAUUCUUUUGAUUUCACAGCUCUCUAAAAUGAAUAAUGCUGAAAAAUAUUUACAGAUGAUAAAGAAAAAAUGUGAUUUAAAAAUGUGAUGACAAAGAAAAAAAUGUGAUUUAUUAUGAGUUUACCAUGAAGAAUGCUUUCUUUUGUUCGCAAAAGAAACAAAAUAGUUAAAAUUAAGCAUAGAACCUAAAAGUUUUAAUUUUUAAAUUUUAUGCAAAGAGUUCCAUUCCUGUAAAAAUUUGUGCUCUAUCUUGAAGAGCCUUUCAGGGACAGAGGCAGCAUACAAAACCACUGAAAAGCUCUGCACUCCAUAUUUCUAGGUAUUUUCUGAAAGUACAGCAGUUGAGAACUUUACACAGGAAGGAGGCAGGGAAAAGGGAUGUUAUCUCCUUCUUGAGAUCUCUGAGACGUGUCUCUGAAAUUGUGGCUCAACAUAAACACAGAAAGUGGACAUAAAACCUGUACCUUAAAAUUUUAAUAAACAUGUGAUUCAUUUGAUUACUGAUGAUGGUUUGACCUUGAUUUCCUAUUCUAAUUUGUAUGACACUGCUCCAGAGUUAUAAAGGGGAACAGCCUU
Molecule: long non-coding RNA, 2101 nt
Organism: Motacilla alba alba
Lineage: Eukaryota; Metazoa; Chordata; Aves; Passeriformes; Motacillidae
Exons: 3
Source: RefSeq, a predicted model, not a curated record